GAAGCUUGCUUCUCUUGAGAGCGGCGGACGGGUGAGUAAUGCCUAGGAAUCUGCCUGGUAGUGGGGGAUAACGCUCGGAAACGGACGCUAAUACCGCAUACGUCCUACGGGAGAAAGCAGGGGACCUUCGGGCCUUGCGCUAUCAGAUGAGCCUAGGUCGGAUUAGCUAGUUGGUGAGGUAAUGGCUCACCAAGGCGACGAUCCGUAACUGGUCUGAGAGGAUGAUCAGUCACACUGGAACUGAGACACGGUCCAGACUCCUACGGGAGGCAGCAGUGGGGAAUAUUGGACAAUGGGCGAAAGCCUGAUCCAGCCAUGCCGCGUGUGUGAAGAAGGUCUUCGGAUUGUAAAGCACUUUAAGUUGGGAGGAAGGGCAGUUACCUAAUACGUAUCUGUUUUGACGUUACCGACA
This 412-nucleotide ribosomal RNA is filed under the name Pseudomonas sp. ATR41. RNAcentral's name for it is "bacterial SSU rRNA". It matches the Rfam family "Bacterial small subunit ribosomal RNA", at positions 75 to 483 of the family's 1533-position model. Lineage: Bacteria; Pseudomonadati; Pseudomonadota; Gammaproteobacteria; Pseudomonadales; Pseudomonadaceae. The record is from RNAcentral. RNAcentral also lists the same sequence under 3 other names.